RNA transcript from Malania oleifera, 1116 nucleotides. It is a transcript of the gene named proline-rich receptor-like protein kinase PERK14, with no coding region annotated. NCBI's taxonomy places the organism in Eukaryota, Viridiplantae, Streptophyta, Magnoliopsida, Santalales, Ximeniaceae. The transcript has 4 exons. The record is from RefSeq and is a predicted model, not a curated record.
CUCCCUCCCUCCCUCUCUCUCUCUCUCUCUCUCUCUCAACAUUCUUCCAUCCCUUCUAUUGUUUCAGCUUCUUUUGCGGGGAUGAGCUUCUGGGAAAUUUGGUUGGAAGCAGUGUGCUUUCGGGGGCAGUGAUUAGGGAUUUUCUUUGUUGUUUCGAGCUCUAUUUGCGUUGCAGAAAUUGAUCAAUUUGGGCGAGUAGCAACUAAUUUUCUUCAGUUCAGUGGCGUUUGGGUGCUGCAAGUUGUGUAUGCUGAUUUACAGUGCACAACAAAUUUGGGAAGAGCUGGAAAGGAAAUAUGGAGAAAGCAAAGAAGAGGAGUCUACUUCUACGAAUAUUUUAACUCCAAAGGAUCAAGAGGAGAUAAAUAAUGGGCCUAUAACAUUUAUUAAUGACAAGGCAUCACUCACGGACAGCAGUCCCUCCGGCAAACCACCCGUUCUCCCGUCGACAUCUCACUUGGACUCUCAGGCUCUCCCUCACCAUCACAGUUUUCUACAGCCUCCACCCUCACGAAGCAGCUCUCCACCUCCCACGGCCACAACAGCAACGCCAGAAGAGUUCUCUCCACCAUCGCAGCAGCCUCUUUUCCACUGUCGCUGUCGUCCAUUUUCCUCGCCGUCACCGUCGCCACCCCGCCGUUCACCGUUGUGCCCAUCUCCCUUUCCGUCUCUAUCUUAGUCAUCAGAGCUUAGGCGACCCAGCUCUGUUAGCACACAGAUUUUUUAUUGUGGAGGCCCGUCGAGUAAUCGAAACUAAUGUCCUGGUGUGGGAGCGUAGCGGUCAGUGUACUACGAGAGGUACUUGGGUAAGUACUAGGACUGUACUGGGUGGUCUUUUGGUGGUUUUGGCUGACACCCGAGGUUGUGUGGUAUUUUGUGGAGUUUGACUCCUUUGUAUAGACUCUGGUAUGUUACUAUGUAUGUAUAGAAAAACUUAUUUUUCGUUGUGUAUAUGGUUGCAUAUGAAUGUGUAUAGGGUGCCUGGAAACCCCACGGGGUCAGACUCUCAUUCAUCGUACUGUAUCUUUGGUGAUUUGUGUAAUACAGGGACAUAUUAGAUUACUAUUUCACCCCUGGGUCCCAUUUUCGGGUUCAAGGCGCAAGAGAUUGUUUUUC